RNAcentral lists this ribosomal RNA (1568 nucleotides) under Capsicum baccatum. RNAcentral describes it as "bacterial SSU rRNA". It matches the Rfam family "Eukaryotic small subunit ribosomal RNA", at positions 3 to 1453 of the family's 1831-position model. Lineage: Eukaryota; Viridiplantae; Streptophyta; Magnoliopsida; Solanales; Solanaceae. The record is from RNAcentral.
CCUGGAUAAUCCUUCUAGUAGACAUAUUCUUGUAUCAAAUAUUAAUCCAUGCAUGUGUAAUUAUGAGAAAAUUGACUAUGAAAUUGCAAAGCCCUAUUAAAUCAGUUAUAGUUUUUUGAUGGUAUUCACUACUUGAAUAACCAUAGUAAUUCUAAAGUUAAUAUGACAACAAACCCCAACUUAUGGAACUAAUGCAUUUGUUAAAAAGGUUGGCAUAGGAUCUACCUAUUGCUACAAUAAUUCAUAACAACUCAAUAGAUCACACAGCCAUUAUGCCAGUGAUGCAUUAUUCAAAUUUUUUCCCUAUUAAAUUUUAAUAGUGGAUAGAAGCCUACCAUGGUGGUGAUAGAUGAUGGAGAAUUAUGGUUUAUUUCUAGAGAGAGAUCUUAAGAAAUAACUACCACAUCUAAGGAAGGCAACAGACGCAUAAAUUUCUAAAACUUGACAUAAGGAGUUAGUGACAAUAAGUAACAAUAUCAGGUUAUAUGAGUUUGGUAAUUGGGAUGAGUACAAUAUAAAUCCCUUAAUAAGGAUCCAUUGUAGCACAAGUUUGGUUCUACCAGUUGCGGUAAUUCUAGCUCCAACAAUAUAUAUUUAAGUUGUUGUAGCUAAAAAGCUCAUAGUAAGUAUUUGGGGGUUGUUCAGUUCAUCUUUUGGUGUGCACUGGUCAUCUCAUCCCAUCUAUGGGUAAUAUGUUCCUACCUUUAAUUAGUUGGAUCAUGCCUUGGACGUUGUUUCUUUAAAAAAAUUAGAGUGCUCAAAGAAAACCUAUGCUCUAUAUACAUUAGCAUGGGAAAAUAUUAUAGGAUUUUUGUUCUAUUACAUUAGCCUUUGGGAUUUGUGUAAUGAUUUAUAGGGACAGUCAGGGGCAUUUGUGUUUAAUAGUUAGAGGUGAAAUUCUUGAAUUUAUGAAAGACGAACAACUUCAAAAGCAUUUGCCAUGUAUGUUUUCAUUAAUCAAAAAUAGAAGUUGGGGGCUCAAAGAUAGUCAGAUACAGUCCUAGUCUCAACCAUAAAUAAUGUUGACCACAUAUCGACAAAUGUUGAUUUUAAGACUAUAUCGGCUCCUUAUGAGAAAUCAAAGUGUUUGGGUUCUAGGAAAGGAGAUAUAGUAUCAAGGCUAAAACUUAAAGGAACUAAACGAAAGACACCACUAAGAGUGGAGCCUGAGACUUAAUUUAACUCAACACAGGGAAACUUAUUAGUCCAUUCAUAUUAAAGAUUGAUAGAUUAAGAGUUCUUUAUUAUUAUAUAGAUGGGGGUGCAUUGACAUUCUUAGUUGGAAGAGUGGUUUAACGGGUUAAUAUCAUUGACGAAUAAACCCUAUCUUACUAACUAGCUAUGUGGAGGUAUCCCUGCAUAAAACAUCCUAUGUUCUAACCCGUGCAAAAUUCUAUGAGUUUAAGCCUUCUAUUGAUCAUAUAACUCACCAUACUAGUCAUAUAGUGUGGUAUGGGUCUAGGGACCGUAUUCAUAUGUGGUCAGUGUGAUGUUGUCCAAGUUUUGUUUUAAGCAUGAGAAGACUACAUACGAGUUGUAUGUACAUGGUAUGAGAGUUAGGGUCCAAC